AGUGAACGCUGGCGGUAGGCCUAACACAUGCAAGUCGAACGGCAACACAGUAAGAGCUUGCUCUGACGGGUGGCGGGUGGCGUACGGGUGCGGAAUACAUCGGGAGCUACUUUUUCGUGGGGGGUAACGUAGGGAAACUUACGCUAAUACCGCAUACGAACUACGGGUGAAAGCAGGGGAUCUUCGGACCUUGCGCGAUUGAAUGAGCCGAUGUCGGAUUAGCUAGUUGGCGGGGUAAAGGCCCACCAAGGCGACGAUCCGUAGCUGGUCUGAGAGGACGACCAGCCACACUGGGACUGAGACACGGCCCAGACUCCUACGGGAGGCAGCAGUGGGGAAUUGUGGACAAGGGGCGCAAGCCUGAUCCAGCAAUGCCGCGUGCGGGAAGAAGGCCUUCGGGUUGUAAACCGCUUUUGGCAGGAACGAAACGGUGUCCGCUAAUACCGGGCGCUAAUGACGGUACCUGCAGAAUAAGCACCGGCUAACUACGUG
RNAcentral lists this ribosomal RNA (492 nucleotides) under uncultured bacterium. RNAcentral's name for it is "partial 16S ribosomal RNA". It matches the Rfam family "Bacterial small subunit ribosomal RNA", at positions 29 to 507 of the family's 1533-position model. The record is from RNAcentral.